RNAcentral lists this unclassified non-coding RNA (2226 nucleotides) under Leishmania donovani. RNAcentral's name for it is "gene:LdHU3.10.1790(CDS-product:Protein_of_unknown _function_(DUF1861)_putative)". The record is from RNAcentral. Lineage: Eukaryota; Euglenozoa; Kinetoplastea; Trypanosomatida; Trypanosomatidae.
UGGCCUGCGAUAUUGCGCGGAUAUUCUCUGUCGCUGACGUGCCCUCCGCCUCUUUUUUGCGCGUCGUUCCACUCUCUCGUGUUGCCUUCUAUCCCCACUCUGUCCGCCCACGCCCCAUACGCAUGCGCCUUUCUGCCUGUCUCACUCUGGCCGCUUUGCACACAAGGACUUCCAACUCUUACUCUUGGCAUUCCGUGGAGAGCAUCACCAAUCCCGCGAACCACCUUGGCUGCCCCCUCGCUGAAAAGGGCGCACGAGAAUGAAGCAAGUUAAGGCAGCGUUCGAGGCCAACAAGCGUGUCUACGAGAGCGUGCUGCUCACUUUCAAAGGUGUUGACGGCUAUGACGUGUACAACUGCUCCGUCCCCUUCUCCUACAAGGGCAAGACGCACAUCUACGGCCGCGUUGAAAAGCGCGAUAUUUGGGCCGCUUCGCAUGUGCGGCUCUUCGAGGAGACGGGCAAGGAUGAGUUCACCGUCGUCCCCGGCUUCUAUUUCCAGUUGGAGGAUCCGCACAUUGCGAAAAUCAACAACGAGAUGAUCUUCGGCGGCACACAUGUGCGGAAGGACAAGCAGGAGAUCAGCGCCUACUACGGCUACUUCUACCGUGGCACGCCAGAUGAGCUGAAGUACUUCACGACAGGCCCUGACUGCAUGAAGGACAUUCGCGUUCUGCAGCUGCAGGACGGCCGUCUCGGGGUCUUUUCACGCCCACGAGUAGGACACAAGGCCUCUAUCGGCUUCGUGAUCCUAAACUCCAUCGACGAGCUCGGCGCCGAGGUGAUUGCCAAAGCACCGCCGCUCGACAUCCUGCCCGAGAACGCGUGGGGCGGCGUCAACCAGGCAUACCUCCUCUCCAGCGGCAAGGUUGGCUGUAUUGGACACUACAGCUAUGAGGACACAAAUGAGAAGCAGCAGCCGCAGAGCGUCUACGUGAACUACUCCUUCGUGCUCGACCCCCAGAGCCGAGCGAUUGCAGAUGCGAAGAUCAUCGGCACAAAGAGCUGCUACCCACCGUGCGAACCCAAGGUUCCCCUUCUAGCGGACUGCGUUUUCGCCUCCGGCAUCGUAAUGCGCAGCGAUGGCAGGGUAGAUCUCUACAGUGGCGUCGGCGACAGUCGCGAGGGCCGCAUCACCAUUGACUACCCUUUCAAGGGCCAUGGCACCAUCAUUGGCGACUUCCACUUCCCCACGGCUUCCUCCUUGUGAUCGCUCUCUGUGCUCGUGCGUUCGGGCAGGUGGCCCAGGAGGAGGGAGGGGAGGCUGAAACUCAGGUAGACAGUCGCGCAACACCACGUCACGCAUUGCAGCGUCGAUUGUGAUACGUUGGCACGUAGCGCACAUAUGUGAUGCGCAUGUUACCACCACCAUCACAAAAAGGAAAACGCAUCAGUGCAGGGCGGUGCAGGCGCACACGUCUAUUUGUUUCUUCUGCUGCUCGCUCCCUUCUUUUUCCUUUCCUCCCUCUGCUCCCCCCGCACUCUUGCUUGCCUCACCUGGUUGGCCCCGAAGCCCCUUUUUCCCCUGUCUUUUCUGCUCCCUGAUGAUGUGAGGAUACACCUCUCCGUGUGUGGUGUCAGGGCUCAGUACCCCGACUCUGCGUGAGGGGAAGCCAUGCACCCUCUUAACCCCUGUCGAUGUCAAGCCACCUCUGGUUGUGCCAGCGGCAAUCACCCACGCGGUUGAGGAUGCCAGAGCGAUGCAUGGCUGCUGAUGUCGGCGGUGGGGUGGUGGACGGCGUUGCGUUGGAGCGGCCUGAGACAGCGAACACGCGUGUGCCAUCCACAUCAUGGGCACAGUGCCAAUGCCACUCCAAUGCAUCUUCACCCCGCCCUGGCACUGCCUGCAGGUGUGGGGCGCCUGAGCCACCUCGAGGGGGAUGCAUCAGGUGGCUGCCGGCACCAUGGGAGCGGCUGUGAGGCGACCUGACCUGCGAGGCAGGGGGGCGGGUAGAGUGUGAGGCAGAGGCUGUGCUGCGGUGCCCACGUGGGCAUUGCGGUAGCACUUGUCUGCUGCUGCAUGGCACCACGCGAUGGGGACGCUGUGACGGGCCGGGGGUAGGGUGGAGGUCAGAUCAUGCGGUAUGAGAGGAUGGACAAGUGAGAGCUUUUGCUGAUCUCGCCGCUGUCUUUCUUUAUCUCGGUGCAGCUUCAAGUUUUCACCUGUUCGUGGAACCGUUUCUACUUUUUCGUCCUCGACCUACUCGUGCGCUUGUCUGUUUUUGAUAG